RNAcentral lists this ribosomal RNA (468 nucleotides) under uncultured bacterium. RNAcentral's name for it is "partial 16S ribosomal RNA". It matches the Rfam family "Bacterial small subunit ribosomal RNA", at positions 28 to 507 of the family's 1533-position model. The record is from RNAcentral.
GACGAACGCUGGCGGCGUGCUUAACACAUGCAAGUCGAACGGAAAGGCCCUGCUUUUGUGGGGUGCUCGAGUGGCGAACGGGUGAGUAACACGUGAGUAACCUGCCCUUGACUUUGGGAUAACAUCAGGAAACUGGGGCUAAUACCGGAUAGGAGCUCCUGCUGCAUGGUGGGGGUUGGAAAGUUUCGGCGGUUGGGGAUGGACUCGCGGCUUAUCAGCUUGUUGGUGGGGUAGUGGCUUACCAAGGCUUUGACGGGUAGCCGGCAUGAGAGGGUGGCCGGGCACAUUGGGACUGAGAGACGGACCAGACUCCUACGGGAGGCAGCAGUGGGGAAUAUUGCACAAUGGGCGGAAGCCUGAUGCAGCAACGCCGCGUGCGGGAUGACGGCUUUCGGGUUGUAAACCGCUUUCGCCUGUGACGAAGCGUGAGUGACGGUAAUGGGUAAAGAAGCACCGGCUAACUACGUG